Molecule: ribosomal RNA, 566 nt
Filed under: uncultured bacterium
Lineage: Bacteria
Description: bacterial SSU rRNA
Rfam family: Bacterial small subunit ribosomal RNA
Source: RNAcentral
UCCUACGGGAGGCAGCAGUAGGGAAUCUUCCGCAAUGGACGAAAGUCUGACGGAGCAACGCCGCGUGAGUGAUGAAGGCUUUCGGGUCGUAAAACUCUGUUGUUAGGGAAGAACAAGUGCUAGUUGAAUAAGCUGGCACCUUGACGGUACCUAACCAGAAAGCCACGGCUAACUACGUGCCAGCAGCCGCGGUAAUACGUAGGUGGCAAGCGUUAUCCGGAAUUAUUGGGCGUAAAGCGCGCGCAGGUGGUUUCUUAAGUCUGAUGUGAAAGCCCACGGCUCAACCGUGGAGGGUCAUUGGAAACUGGGAGACUUGAGUGCAGAAGAGGAAAGUGGAAUUCCAUGUGUAGCGGUGAAAUGCGUAGAGAUAUGGAGGAACACCAGUGGCGAAGGCGACUUUCUGGUCUGUAACUGACACUGAGGCGCGAAAGCGUGGGGAGCAAACAGGAUUAGAUACCCUGGUAGUCCACGCCGUAAACGAUGAGUGCUAAGUGUUAGAGGGUUUCCGCCCUUUAGUGCUGAAGUUAACGCAUUAAGCACUCCGCCUGGGGAGUACGGCCGCAAGG